AGCGAACGCUAGCGGCAGGCUUAACACAUGCAAGUCGAACGCCCCGCAAGGGGAGUGGCAGACGGGUGAGUAACACGUGGGAACGUACCCUUUGGUUCGGAAUAACUUGGGGAAACUCAAGCUAAUACCGGAUAAGCCCUUAUGGGGAAAGGUUUACUGCCGAAGGAUCGGCCCGCGUCUGAUUAGCUAGUUGGUGAGGUAAUGGCUCACCAAGGCGACGUUCAGUAGCUGGUCUGAGUGAAUGAUCAGCCACAUUGGGACUGAGACACGGCCCAGACUCCUACGUGAGGCAGCAGUGGGGAAUAUUGGACAAUGGGGGCAACCCUGAUCCAGCCAUGCCGCGUGAGUGAUGAAGGCCUUAGGGUUGUAAAGCUCUUUUACCCGGGACGAUAAUGACUGUACCGGGAGAAUAAGCCCCGUCUAACUUCGUGCCAGCCGCCGCCGUAA
RNAcentral lists this ribosomal RNA (447 nucleotides) under uncultured bacterium. RNAcentral's name for it is "partial 16S ribosomal RNA". It matches the Rfam family "Bacterial small subunit ribosomal RNA", at positions 29 to 523 of the family's 1533-position model. The record is from RNAcentral.